RNAcentral lists this ribosomal RNA (159 nucleotides) under uncultured Thelephoraceae. RNAcentral describes it as "5.8S ribosomal RNA". It matches the Rfam family "5.8S ribosomal RNA". Rfam says of the family: 5.8S ribosomal RNA (5.8S rRNA) is a component of the large subunit of the eukaryotic ribosome. Lineage: Eukaryota; Fungi; Basidiomycota; Agaricomycetes; Thelephorales; Thelephoraceae. The record is from RNAcentral.
CAACUUUCAGCAACGGAUCUCUUGGCUCUCGCAUCGAUGAAGAACGCAGCGAAAUGCGAUAAGUAAUGUGAAUUGCAGAAUUCAGUGAAUCAGCGAAUCUUUGAACGCACCUUGCGCCCUUUGGCGAAUCCGAAGGGCAUGCCUGUUUGAGUAUCAUGA